RNAcentral lists this long non-coding RNA (1438 nucleotides) under Callithrix jacchus (white-tufted-ear marmoset). Its description in RNAcentral is "lncRNA (ENSCJAG00000073847.1)". Lineage: Eukaryota; Metazoa; Chordata; Mammalia; Primates; Cebidae. The record is from RNAcentral.
UUCUCAACCUUGGCUGCACUUUAUAAUCACCUGGGGAACUAGUAAAAGCCCCAAUUCUCUGGCCUCACCUGAGACUAAUUAAUUCUGAAUUUCUGGGGUGAAGACCAGGCAUCAAUAUUUCUUUAAGGCUCCCCAGGUAAUUCUACCGCAUGAGCAAGGUUGAGAUCCUCUGGUUUAGAGUUGUUCUCAAAGGUUGGUAACAUUCGACACACCUGGAGGCCUUGUUUAAACUCAGAUUACUGGACCCCGCCCCUAGAAUUUUGGCGUCAGUCGGUCUGGAAAUUGUAUUUUAAACAAGGUCUCAGGUGGUGGUCUUGCUGCUGGUCCAGGGACCACACUUUGAGAACAACUAUUUUAGAAGAAUCCAGGAAAACUCAGAAAGGAAGGAAAUCCUGAGGAACUGCUAUUGAUGUGGUCAUAUGAAAAAGAUAAAACAUGCUUCUCAGCAACUCUGUGGGAAAACGAAACAAAGCAAAUCAUCUAUAUGUGAGUUCUGUAGAAAGAUAAGCUGGUCUAAACAAACAAACAUUCCAGUUAUAGAAAACUGAAGUCCUGUCGAAGGAAAUAUUCAACAAGCAUGAGAAUUUAAAUGAGUGUGUGCCUGGAAAGGAGAGAAGCACAUCCUUCUUAUUUAGAAUAUUUUAGCCAAAUAAAAGAAGGAAAAUCUAAGUCUUCAUUAAGUAGGUACUCUCAGGAACAAUUUUAUAAGUGGCUUCUAUUGUCAGCAUUGCUGGAACAAAAUGAACUAGCAAAUAUGCCUCUCAUAAAAAUGAUGAUGAUGGUGAUGAUAAAUUUAAAUUGGUCUUGGACUAUAUUUCACAAGCUAUGUUUGACUUACUGGGUUUACCUGUUCCAGAUCUGAGUUGAAGUCCUGGAUAUCCUUAUUAAUUUUCUGUCUCGUUGAGUCUAAAUCUCGUUAUGGGUUUUAUGUAUCUGGUUAUUAAGAUCUCUUAUUGUUGCAUUGAUCCUUUUACCACUGUAUCUUUGUUGCUUUGAAAUCUAUUUUAUCAAAUGUGAGAAUUGCAACUCCUGCUUUUUGUUUAUUUAUUUAUUUUUGCUCUCCAUUUGAUUGGUAAAUUUUUCUCCAACCCUUUGUUUUGAGUCUCUGUGUAUCUUUGGAUAUACCGUUAGGUUUUGGCUGUAUCUUUUGAUUGGGGGAUUUAGUCGAUUUAAAUUUAGGGUUACUGCCAUUUGAUGUUAACUGGCGAUUUUAUCCAUUCGUUGAUGUAAAUUCUUCUUUAUGUUGAUGCUCUUUAUAUUUUGGUAUAUUUUUAGAAAGGCUCAUACUGGUUGUUCCUUUCUAUGUAUAAUGCUUCUUUCAGAAGUUCUGAAAUGUGUGUGUAUAUAUAUAUAUAUAUAUAUAUAUAUAUAUAUAUAUUUAUAUAUGGACACAUACAUACAUAUAUAUUUUGUAAAUUAUAAGUUUCAUAUGUAAAAA